RNAcentral lists this microRNA precursor (98 nucleotides) under Paramuricea clavata. The record is from RNAcentral. Lineage: Eukaryota; Metazoa; Cnidaria; Anthozoa; Malacalcyonacea; Plexauridae.
ACCAGCCGGCAAUACGGCUAUCAGCCGGGCGUGUCUGUAGUAUACUAUAGUAUACUACAGACACGCCCGGCUGAUAGCCGUAUUGCCGGCUGGUAGUC